GCAAUACGGAGCGGCAGACGGGAGAGUAACACGUGGGAACGUGCCCUUCAGUUCGGAACAACCCAGGGAAACUUGGGCUAAUACCGGAUACGUCCGAAAGGAGAAAGAUUAUCGCUGAAGGAUCGGCCCGCGUCUGAUUAGCUAGUUGGUGGGGUAAUGGCCCACCAAGGCGACGAUCAGUAGCUGGUCUGAGAGGAUGAUCAGCCUCACUGGGACUGAGACACGGUCCAGACUCCUACGGGAGGCAGCAGUGGGGAAUUGUUCGCAAUGGGCGCAAGCCUGACGACGCAACGCCGCGUGGAGGAUGAAGACCUUCGGG
This 319-nucleotide ribosomal RNA is filed under the name uncultured bacterium. RNAcentral's name for it is "bacterial SSU rRNA". It matches the Rfam family "Bacterial small subunit ribosomal RNA", at positions 85 to 422 of the family's 1533-position model. The record is from RNAcentral.